This 3093-nucleotide long non-coding RNA is filed under the name Homo sapiens (human). RNAcentral describes it as "HSALNT0286385". Lineage: Eukaryota; Metazoa; Chordata; Mammalia; Primates; Hominidae. The record is from RNAcentral.
GGGGGUGCGGAGGGGGACAGAGGUCAAGGCAGUGAAAGGGCCAGGGGGAGGGUACUGGGAGGAGGAGCCUCCGGCGGGGUCGACAGUGCGCUGAGUCAGGGUCCCCGCGGAGACCUCGCGCCAGCUCGCUGAUUCCCUAGACCUUCUUGUUUUCCUGGGUUCCGCCUGGAUUUUCCUUGGAUCCAACUCACUUACUCCCUUUGCUUGGGAAUGGGGAACAUGGGGGCAACACCCCAGGUCAAAAGGAAAAGAGCAUCUGUGCCCGCCCCGCCUGGCUCGCUCAUCCCCCCUCCUUUUUUCCCCUCCUCUCCUCCUCGCCCCCUUCUCUUCCGCCCAAAGGGAAGGCGGGGGCGGGCUGUGUAUGUAUGUAUGUAUGCAUGUAAGCGUGUGUGCGCGCGCGCGGGUGCGGUAGAUCUGUGUGUGCGUUCGGUGUGUGGCCGGGUGUGGGGGGUGUGUGCGCGGAGCACGUUUUAGCUGGAGUGCUUGGUGUGGUGUGUAUUUGGUUUGCGCUUUGACAUGCAGCAUGUGUUUGUGUGUGCACGCUUAUAGGUUGUAUGUUUCUGCCCGAUUAUAGUGGGAUUAUGUGGGUGCGGUUUGAAGGUGGGUGUGUGCUGUUCCUGCCGGGGUUUGUGGUCGUGCUGUGGUGAGUGUAUAUGUGUGUGCAAUGUGUGGAUGUGUGUGUGCCCGUUGAAGCUUGUGUGCAUAUGUGUGGAGUGUGUUUAUGCUUAGAUGCAGUGUGUCAAUGUGGGUUUACAGGUGGUGUCUGUUGAACUGUGUAGUGUGUGAAUGUGUGCGUGUGCAAGAUUUCUCUAUAAGUCAAUCUACUUGAGAUGUGUGUUCAAAGGUUUAUGCAUGUGAGGGUGCGGUGUGUGUCUUUUGGUGUGAUGUUCUCAUGUGUGUGGUGUGGACGCAUGUGGUCAGCUUACGUGCUUGGAUGAAGGGGUUGUGUGUGUCUUGAAGGGGGAUUGCCGCGUAAGUGUAUGGGUGCGGUGUGUGAGAGUACAGGGUUGUCUAAAAGAACCCAAGUGACCGUGUGUGUGGUUGGGGGCGGGGACGAGUGGGACGUUGGGCUGGGACUGAGAGAAGAAAGGAAGUAGGGGCCGCGACCCCGGCAGGGGUUCCCGCUGGUCUGAUCUUCACCGUGGGGGUUCGCCUGCCCGCCCACCUCUGUGUCGGCAAGGCCCGCUGGGGCAGGGUGUGAAUGUACCUGGCUGCUUAAAGGAAAGAAGAGGAGGGCACCGCACGUGAUUGGCCAGCCCUGUUCCUUCCUUUUGGACUAAUGGCUGAGUGACCCAACUGGAUUUCCUUGGCUUGAACCUGAGCAAGCCCUCUCUCUCUAAAGACUUGAAUGCCUACUCCCUUCACUGAGUGGUUUCUUCUGUUCCUGGCCAACUCAGAGUACUUGAGAGACUGGAGCAUUGGGGAUCAGAUUUUGGUGUGCAUCUGCAUCAUCUGGGAUACUUUUCAAAUGCAGACCCCCAGGCCUCGACUAAAGUGCUUCUGAUAUGGAUAAUUUAUAGAUCACACAUUGAGAAAUACUGCUGUGUGCUAUGGGAUUAAUAUUUGAUGUAUAAAAUGAAUAUGAGUAGCUACAUAACCACAGUUUUAUUGAUCAAAGACAUGAGUAGCUGGGAGAGAGAAACACUCUUUUCCCUUCCCUCCUCAGGUCACCUAAUCAUCAGAACCUUAUUCACUCCAAUGUCAGAAACCCACAUCAAGGAUGCAUUGAUCUGGCAUCCCCAGUGAGCUAAGUUCCCAGGAGACUAAGCCACCAGUAACCAUCACACCUCUCCACCUCCCUCAAUGAAGAACUUGCCACUACUGAAAGUAUAAGAUAAUAAUAGAUUAAAAUCCAUUAAUCAGUAAGUUAAUAUUCCAUGCAUAUUCUAACUCUUACUAUUGGGAUCUCUUUUUUUCAGUUUCUCUCAUCUACAGAUACAUUAAGAAUAGUCAGUUUCUUUUCUUUCUUUCUUUCUUUUCUUUUCUUUCUUUCUUUCUUUCUUUUCUUUUCUUUCUUUCUUUCUUUUUCUUUCUUUCUUUUUUUUUUUCUCUGAGACACAGUUUCUCUCUUGUUGCCCAGACUGGAGUGCUAUGGUGUGAUCUCAGCUCACCAGAACCUUUGCCUCCUGGGUUCAAGCAAUUCUCCUGCCUCAGCCUCCUGAGUAGCUGGGAUUGCAGGCAUGCACCACCACGCCUGGCUAAUUUUGUAUUUUUAGUAGAGACAGGGUUUCUCCAUGUUGGUCAGGCUGGUCUCGAACUCCCAACCUCAGGUGAUCCACCCGCCUCGGCCUCCCAAAGUGCUGGGACUACAGGUGUGAGCCACCACGCCCAGCCUAAGAAUAGUCAGUUUGUAACACAAACAUCUGCAGAACAAGAAUUAACCCAAUAGCGACAAAAACAAAUAUGAGAGAAUAAAUGUUAUUAUGUGUUUUUUAAACUAUGAGUUUGGAAAAGUACAAGAUGUCCUGCUUGUGCUCUCAAGUUAUAUUUAAUAUCAUCAAAUCCCACUCACCAUUGCAGGUUAUUGCUUAAGGGUCACUUGAGGUCGAAGUGGAGACAGGAGAGAAAGGACAAAGGGGGAAAGGAUGAGAGGGUGAAGACAUAGCCAGACUGCUCAAAGGAGUGCUUAGCAGGGAGGCUCCUGGAAACAUUCAUCUCCAGUGAGUGGACAGGGGCGCUUACUUGAGAAGGAGCCAGAGUAGGCUAUUGCUGUUCAACCCCAAACCCUGCACUUGAGACCCCCUCCACAAAUCACAUGCUGAGAUUUCCAAAAUACCCUUGCCCUUAGAAUCUCAAAGGAUUCUCACUUCAGCUGCAAGAAGCCAAGGGGGCAUUACUACACACCCUAUUUGACAAGUGGGGCUUUAAAGGCUACAGAAGUUUGGAAGAGGCAAUGCCUAGUGUAGAAAAGGAAACCAACAGAUCAUGAUGCAGUGGAAAGUAUACUGGAAUUUAUAAAUUUACAUUUAGCAGAAUCUCAAGCAUGUCAAAUUGCAUAGAAAAAAAGCUGGAAGGAAAUAUGGACCCAAUAUUGAUCAUUAUGGAUGACUGACGUUUUCUUCUUCAUACGUGUCUGGGUUUUCCUCUCCUCUC